This 301-nucleotide ribosomal RNA is filed under the name uncultured bacterium. Its description in RNAcentral is "partial 16S ribosomal RNA". It matches the Rfam family "Bacterial small subunit ribosomal RNA", at positions 509 to 807 of the family's 1533-position model. The record is from RNAcentral.
CAGCCGCCGCGGGAAUACGAAGGGGGCUAGCGUUGCUCGGAAUGACUGGGCGUAAAGGGCGCGUAGGCGGUUUUGACAGUCAGAUGUGAAAUUCCUGGGCUUAACCUGGGGGCUGCAUUUGAGACGUCAAGACUAGAGUGUGAUAGAGGGUUUUGGAAUUCCCAGUGUAGAGGUGAAAUUCGUAGAUAUUGGGAAGAACACCGGUGGCGAAGGCGGCAACCUGGCUCAUUACUGACGCUGAGGCGCGAAAGCGUGGGGAGCAAACAGGAUUAGAUACCCCGGUAGUCCCUGUCUCUUAUAC